AUUUCCUUUGAUCUUUAUAACAGUCCUGUGAGGCAUCUGCCCUUUUACUAUCACUAUUUUUUUUUACAGAUGAGGAUAUUGAGCUGUUAAGAGAUUUGGCCAGGGUAACACAACUAGUUUUGCCUGGCAUUCUGCAGAAGCAUUGCUGUAUCUUACCAGACAGGAAUACAGGAGCUUGACACUUAUGAACAAAAGUUUUGGAGCUUAAUCUCAGCUGGAAAGGAGCAGGUGGUCACAGUGGGAAGACUUUUCUUCCUGAGUUCAAAUCUGACCUCAGACACUUACUAGCUGUGUGACCCAUGGCAAGUCACUCAACCCUGUUUACCUCAGUUUCCUCAACUGUAAAAUGAGCCAGAGAAGGAAAUGGCAAACAUUACAUUAUUUCUUCCU
RNAcentral lists this long non-coding RNA (390 nucleotides) under Monodelphis domestica (gray short-tailed opossum). RNAcentral's name for it is "lncRNA (ENSMODG00000044150.1)". The record is from RNAcentral. Lineage: Eukaryota; Metazoa; Chordata; Mammalia; Didelphimorphia; Didelphidae.